Molecule: ribosomal RNA, 2929 nt
Filed under: Citrobacter freundii
Lineage: Bacteria; Pseudomonadati; Pseudomonadota; Gammaproteobacteria; Enterobacterales; Enterobacteriaceae
Description: 23S ribosomal RNA
Rfam family: Bacterial large subunit ribosomal RNA
Source: RNAcentral
GGGUUGUGAGGUUAAGCGACUAAGCGUACACGGUGGAUGCCCUGGCAGUCAGAGGCGAUGAAGGACGUGCUAAUCUGCGAUAAGCGUCGGUAAGGUGAUAUGAACCGUUAUAACCGGCGAUUUCCGAAUGGGGAAACCCAGUGUGAUUCGUCACACUAUCAUUACGUGAAUACAUAGCGUAAUGAAGCGAACCGGGGGAACUGAAACAUCUAAGUACCCCGAGGAAAAGAAAUCAACCGAGAUUCCCCCAGUAGCGGCGAGCGAACGGGGAGCAGCCCAGAGUCUGAAUCAGCUUGUGUGUUAGUGGAACGGUCUGGAAAGUCCGACGGUACAGGGUGAUAGUCCCGUACACCAAAAUGCACAGGUUGUGAACUCGAAGAGUAGGGCGGGACACGUGGUAUCCUGUCUGAAUAUGGGGGGACCAUCCUCCAAGGCUAAAUACUCCUGACUGACCGAUAGUGAACCAGUACCGUGAGGGAAAGGCGAAAAGAACCCCGGCGAGGGGAGUGAAAAAGAACCUGAAACCGUGUACGUACAAGCAGUGGGAGCCUCUUUAUGGGGUGACUGCGUACCUUUUGUAUAAUGGGUCAGCGACUUAUAUUCUGUAGCAAGGUUAACCGUAUAGGGGAGCCGAAGGGAAACCGAGUCUUAACUGGGCGUUAAGUUGCAGGGUAUAGACCCGAAACCCGGUGAUCUAGCCAUGGGCAGGUUGAAGGUUGGGUAACACUAACUGGAGGACCGAACCGACUAAUGUUGAAAAAUUAGCGGAUGACUUGUGGCUGGGGGUGAAAGGCCAAUCAAACCGGGAGAUAGCUGGUUCUCCCCGAAAGCUAUUUAGGUAGCGCCUCGUGAGCUCAUCUUCGGGGGUAGAGCACUGUUUCGGCUAGGGGGUCAUCCCGACUUACCAACCCGAUGCAAACUGCGAAUACCGAAGAAUGUUAUCACGGGAGACACACGGCGGGUGCUGCUACGUCCGUCGUGAAGAGGGAAACAACCCAGACCGCCAGCUAAGGUCCCAAAGUCAUGGUUAAGUGGGAAACGAUGUGGGAAGGCACAGACAGCCAGGAUGUUGGCUUAGAAGCAGCCAUCAUUUAAAGAAAGCGUAAUAGCUCACUGGUCGAGUCGGCCUGCGCGGAAGAUGUAACGGGGCUAAACCAUGCACCGAAGCUGCGGCAGCGACACUAUGUGUUGUUGGGUAGGGGAGCGUUCUGUAAGCCGUUGAAGGUGGCCUGUGAGGGUUGCUGGAGGUAUCAGAAGUGCGAAUGCUGACAUAAGUAACGAUAAUGCGGGUGAAAAACCCGCACGCCGGAAGACCAAGGGUUCCUGUCCAACGUUAAUCGGGGCAGGGUGAGUCGACCCCUAAGGCGAGGCCGAAAGGCGUAGUCGAUGGGAAACAGGUUAAUAUUCCUGUACUUGGUGUUACUGCGAAGGGGGGACGGAGAAGGCUAUGUUAGCCGGGCGACGGUUGUCCCGGUUUAAGCAUGUAGGCGGAGGUUCCAGGUAAAUCCGGUACCUUUUUAACGCUGAGGUGUGAUGACGAGGCACUACGGUGCUGAAGUAACAAAUGCCCUGCUUCCAGGAAAAGCCUCUAAGCAUCAGGUAACACGAAAUCGUACCCCAAACCGACACAGGUGGUCAGGUAGAGAAUACCAAGGCGCUUGAGAGAACUCGGGUGAAGGAACUAGGCAAAAUGGUGCCGUAACUUCGGGAGAAGGCACGCUGAUAUGUAGGUGAAGCGGUUUACCCGUGGAGCUGAAAUCAGUCGAAGAUACCAGCUGGCUGCAACUGUUUAUUAAAAACACAGCACUGUGCAAACACGAAAGUGGACGUAUACGGUGUGACGCCUGCCCGGUGCCGGAAGGUUAAUUGAUGGGGUUAUCCGUAAGGAGAAGCUCUUGAUCGAAGCCCCGGUAAACGGCGGCCGUAACUAUAACGGUCCUAAGGUAGCGAAAUUCCUUGUCGGGUAAGUUCCGACCUGCACGAAUGGCGUAAUGAUGGCCAGGCUGUCUCCACCCGAGACUCAGUGAAAUUGAACUCGCUGUGAAGAUGCAGUGUACCCGCGGCAAGACGGAAAGACCCCGUGAACCUUUACUAUAGCUUGACACUGAACACUGGUCCUUGAUGUGUAGGAUAGGUGGGAGGCUUUGAAGUGUGGACGCCAGUCUGCAUGGAGCCAUCCUUGAAAUACCACCCUUUAAUGGCUGGUGUUCUAACGUGGACCCGUUACCCGGGUUGCGGACAGUGUCUGGUGGGUAGUUUGACUGGGGCGGUCUCCUCCUAAAGAGUAACGGAGGAGCACGAAGGUUAGCUAAUCCUGGUCGGACAUCAGGAGGUUAGUGCAAAGGCAUAAGCUAGCUUGACUGCGAGAGUGACGGCUCGAGCAGGUGCGAAAGCAGGUCUUAGUGAUCCGGUGGUUCUGAAUGGAAGGGCCAUCGCUCAACGGAUAAAAGGUACUCCGGGGAUAACAGGCUGAUACCGCCCAAGAGUUCAUAUCGACGGCGGUGUUUGGCACCUCGAUGUCGGCUCAUCACAUCCUGGGGCUGAAGUAGGUCCCAAGGGUAUGGCUGUUCGCCAUUUAAAGUGGUACGCGAGCUGGGUUUAGAACGUCGUGAGACAGUUCGGUCCCUAUCUGCCGUGGGCGCUGGAGAAUUGAGGGGGCUGCUCCUAGUACGAGAGGACCGGAGUGGACGCAUCACUGGUGUUCGGGUUGUCAUGCCAAUGGCAUUGCCCGGUAGCUAAAUGCGGAAGAGAUAAGUGCUGAAAGCAUCUAAGCACGAAACUUGCCCCGAGAUGAGUUCUCCCUGAGACUAUAAGUCUCCUGAAGGAACGUUAAAGACGAUGACGUUGAUAGGUCGGGUGUGUAAGUGUAGCGAUACAUUGAGCUAACCGAUACUAAUGAACCGUGAGGCUUAACCUUACAACGCCGAAG